UACGGGAGGCAGCAGUGGGGAAUAUUGCACAAUGGGCGCAAGCCUGAUGCAGCCAUGCCGCGUGUAUGAAAAAGGCCUUCGGGUUGUAAAGUACUUUCAGUCGUGAGGAAGGUGUUAAGGUUAAUAACCUUAGCAAUUGACGUUAGCGACAGAAGAAGCACCGGCUAACUCCGUGCCAGCAGCCGCGGUAAUACGGAGGGUGCGAGCGUUAAUCGGAAUUACUGGGCGUAAAGGGCACGCAGGCGGUUAAUUAAGUUGGAUGUGAAAUCCCCGGGCUUAACCUGGGAAUGGCAUUCAAGACUGGUUAGCUAGAGUCUUGUAGAGGGGGUAGAAUUCCAUGUGUAGCGGUGAAAUGCGUAGAGAUGUGGAGGAAUACCGGUGGCGAAGGCGGCCCCGUGGACAAAGGCUGACGCUCAUGUGCGAAAGCGUGGGGAGCAAACGAGGGAUUAGAUACCC
Molecule: ribosomal RNA, 456 nt
Filed under: uncultured bacterium
Lineage: Bacteria
Description: bacterial SSU rRNA
Rfam family: Bacterial small subunit ribosomal RNA
Source: RNAcentral